Molecule: ribosomal RNA, 490 nt
Filed under: uncultured bacterium
Lineage: Bacteria
Description: partial 16S ribosomal RNA
Rfam family: Bacterial small subunit ribosomal RNA
Source: RNAcentral
AGUGAACGCUGGCGGCAGGCCUAACACAUGCAAGUCGAACGGCAGCACAAGAGAGCUUGCUCUCUGGGUGUCGAGUGGCGGGCGGGAGUGGAAUGCAGCGGAAUCUGCUCAUUUGUUGGGGUUAACCCCGGGAAACCGGGACUAAUACCGCAUACGACCUACGGCUGAAAGCUGGGGAUCUUCGGACCUUGCGCAGGUGGAUGAGCCGAUGCCGGAUUAGCUAGUUGGAGGGGUAAAGGCCCACCAAGGCGACGAUCCGUAGCUGGUCUGAGAGGAUGAUCAGCCACACUGGAACUGAGACACGGCCCAGACUCCUACGGGAGGCAGCAGUGGGGAAUAUUGGGCAAUGGGCGAAAGCCUGACCCAGCCAUGCCGCGUGUGUGAAGAAGGCCUUCGGAUUGUAAAGCACUUUUAUUGGGAAAGAAAAGAAGCCGGUUAAUACCCGGUUGUCAUGACGGUACCCAAAGAGUAAGCACCGGCUAACUUCGUG